CGGGGUGCACCAGGCGCGAAAACUUUACAAUGCCGGCAACGGCGAUAAGGGAACCUCGAGUGCCAGGUUACAAAUCUGGCUGUCGUGAUGCCUAAAAAGCAUUGCAUAGCAAGGGCCGGGCAAGACCGGUGCCAGCCGCCGCGGUAACACCGGCGGCUCGAGUGGUAACCGUUAUUAUUGGGUCUAAAGGGUCUGUAGCCGGCCGGAUAAGUCUCUUGGGAAAUCUGGCGGCUUAACUGUCAGGCUUUCAGGAGAUACUGUCUGGCUCGAGGCCGGGAGAGGUGAGAGGUACUUCAGGGGUAGGGGUGAAAUCUUGUAAUCCUUGAAGGACCACCAGUGGCGAAGGCGUCUCACCAGAACGGACCUGACGGCAAGGGACGAAAGCUAGGGGCACGAACCGGAUUAGAUACCCGGGUAGUCCUAGCCGUAAACGAUACUCGCUAGGUGUCGGCCACGGUGCGACCGUGGUCGGUGCCGUAGGGAAGCCGUGCAGCGAGCCACCUGGGAAGUACGGCCGCAAGGCUGAAACUUAAAGGAAUUGGCGGGGGAGCAC
Molecule: ribosomal RNA, 553 nt
Filed under: uncultured archaeon
Lineage: Archaea
Description: bacterial SSU rRNA
Rfam family: Archaeal small subunit ribosomal RNA
Source: RNAcentral